GUCCGCGGUGGCUCAGUUGGAUAGAGCGUCCGCGCUGAAAGCGGAAGAUCCCGGGUUCGAGUCCCGGUCGGGGCA
This is a non-coding RNA of Schistocerca piceifrons (Central American locust), 75 nucleotides long. The record is from the annotation of a RefSeq genome assembly. Lineage: Eukaryota; Metazoa; Arthropoda; Insecta; Orthoptera; Acrididae.